CCUGCGGAAGGAUCAUUAGAAAUGGCGGGGGAAGACUUGCUCUUCUCCCCAAAUCUCUAUUCUGUGCACUGUUUUUGUGUGCUGGGCUAGUUUCGGCUGGGUCAGCACGGGGUGGAGCUUUGGAAACUGUUUGCUAUGAAUUUUCCCCCGGGAAAGUUCCGCUGGAAACUUUUGACAUCUCCGCCGAAAUUUAAUACUAAUACUGACUGACCAUGAAAAAGUUAAUAUAACAACUUUCAGCAAUGGAUCUCUCGGCUUUCGUAUCGAUGAAGAACGCAGCGAAUCGCGAUAUGUAGUGUGAUCUGCCUCUAGUGAAUCAUCAAAUCUUUGAACGCAUCUUGCACCCUUUGGUAUUCCAAAGGGUACGCCUGUUUCAGUAUCAUUAUAACCUUUCUCCCCAAGGCUUUUUGGCCAAGGAGGGAAAGAGCAUAACCGGUGGCCCAGCGGUCUCCCUUCAGGGGGAUUGUCUCGGCUGGAAUGACUGUUGCAAUGGUGGGCCAAAUGGUCUUCCGCACUUGAUAAAUGUACUUUUAUAAAGAGCGGGGCCGGUCUGCCGAAAGUUGUAACUAAACCCUUUACCUUUGAUCUGAAAUCAGGCGGGAUUACCCGCUGAACUUAAGCAUAUCAA
RNAcentral lists this ribosomal RNA (628 nucleotides) under Absidia glauca var. paradoxa. Its description in RNAcentral is "eukaryotic LSU rRNA". The stretch from base 232 to 382 matches the Rfam family "5.8S ribosomal RNA". Lineage: Eukaryota; Fungi; Mucoromycota; Mucoromycetes; Mucorales; Cunninghamellaceae. The record is from RNAcentral.